RNAcentral lists this ribosomal RNA (465 nucleotides) under uncultured bacterium. Its description in RNAcentral is "partial 16S ribosomal RNA". It matches the Rfam family "Bacterial small subunit ribosomal RNA", at positions 28 to 507 of the family's 1533-position model. The record is from RNAcentral.
GAUGAACGCUGGCGGCGUGCUUAACACAUGCAAGUCGAACGAUGAAGCCCAGCUUGCUGGGUGGAUAGUGGCGAACGGGUGAGUAACACGUGAGUAACCUGCCCUUGACUCUGGGAUAAGCCCGGGAAACUGGGUCUAAUACCGGAUAGGAGCGCCUGUCGCAUGACGGGUGCUGGAAAGAUUUUUCGGUCAUGGAUGGACUCGCGGCCUAUCAGCUUGUUGGUGAGGUAAUGGCUCACCAAGGCGACGACGGGUAGCCGGCCUGAGAGGGUGACCGGCCACACUGGGACUGAGACACGGCCCAGACUCCUACGGGAGGCAGCAGUGGGGAAUAUUGCACAAUGGGCGGAAGCCUGAUGCAGCGACGCCGCGUGAGGGAUGACGGCCUUCGGGUUGUAAACCUCUUUCAGUAGGGAAGAAGCGGAAGUGACGGUACCUGCAGAAGAAGCACCGGCUAACUACGUG